This 468-nucleotide ribosomal RNA is filed under the name uncultured bacterium. RNAcentral describes it as "partial 16S ribosomal RNA". It matches the Rfam family "Bacterial small subunit ribosomal RNA", at positions 28 to 507 of the family's 1533-position model. The record is from RNAcentral.
GAUGAACGCUGGCGGCGUGCUUAACACAUGCAAGUCGAACGGAAAGGCCCUGCUUUUGUGGGGUGCUCGAGUGGCGAACGGGUGAGUAACACGUGUGUAACCUGCCCUUGACUUUGGGAUAACUUCAGGAAACUGGGGCUAAUACCGGAUAGGAGCUCCUGCUGCAUGGUGGGGGUUGGAAAGUUUCGGCGGUUGGGGAUGGACUCGCGGCUUAUCAGCUUGUUGGUGGGGUAGUGGCUUACCAAGGCUUUGACGGGUAGCCGGCCUGAGAGGGUGACCGGCCACAAUACGACUGAGAGACGGACCAGUCUGCUACGGGAGGCAGCAGUGGGGAGUAUGACACAAUGGGCGGGAGCCUGAUGCAGCAGCGCCGCGUGCGGGAAGACGGCCUUCGGGUUGUAAACCGCUUUCGCCUGAGACGAAGCGUGAGUGACGGUAAUGGAUAAAGAAGCACCGGCUAACUACGUG